GUUCUUCUGUAUACAAGGAGAAAGUAUUCUCUCUCAAACAGUAAACUCCCUUUUAUCACAGAGCAGGCUCCAGGCUCAAAGCCCUAGAAAUUCUGUGUGCUAUUUCAUAGGGAGAAAGCACAUCAUCUUCAUCAACUUUUCAAAAGGAUUUGUGUGUCCCCAGAAAGUUAAGAACCACUGUCAUCAUUAUUUCCAAGGCUAUCCUAUGCCUUGGAUUUUAAGGUCCGUUGGGGCAAAAGUCCUGUUUUCUUUUAUCUCUCACUGUGCCUAGCCUAGUUCUCUAUUCCCUCAGGCACUCAUAGGAAUUGGUUGCCCAAAUUGAAUGUGUGAAGCAGACAAUAGAGACUACAAGGGCCAGGUGCUAGUGGCUUGGGAGACGCAUCACCUUGGUAAAGCCUGCAGAGACACAGGUAUUUUACAAGCCAACUCCCUGG
RNAcentral lists this long non-coding RNA (434 nucleotides) under Homo sapiens (human). RNAcentral's name for it is "non-protein coding lnc-CDK1-1:2". The record is from RNAcentral. Lineage: Eukaryota; Metazoa; Chordata; Mammalia; Primates; Hominidae.